GACGAACGCUGGCGGCGUGCUUAACACAUGCAAGUCGAACGGAAAGGCCCUGCUUUUGUGGGGUGCUCGAGUGGCGAACGGGUGAGUAACACGUGAGUAACCUGCCCUUGACUUUGGGAUAACUUCAGGAAACUGGGGCUAAUACCGGAUAGGAGAUCCUGCUGCAUGGUGGGGGUUGGAAAGUUUCGGCGGGUGGGGAUGGACUCGCGGCUUAUCAGCUUGUUGGUGGGGUAGUGGCUUACCAAGGCUUUGACGGGUAGCCGGCCUGAGAGGGUGACCGGCCACAUUGGGACUGAGAGACGGCGCAGACUGCUACGGGAGGCAGCAGGGGGGAAUAUUGCACAAUGGGCGGGAGCCGGAUGCAGCAGCGCCGCGUGCGUGAUGACGGCCUUCGGGUUGUAAACCGCUUUCGCCUGUUACGAAGCUUGAGUGACGGUAAUGGGUAAAGAAGCACCGGCUAACUACGUG
This 468-nucleotide ribosomal RNA is filed under the name uncultured bacterium. RNAcentral describes it as "partial 16S ribosomal RNA". It matches the Rfam family "Bacterial small subunit ribosomal RNA", at positions 28 to 507 of the family's 1533-position model. The record is from RNAcentral.